UAACAGGUGUGUUUGUUCCAGGUGUGGCUGUCCCAACAGGUGUGCUAACAGGUGUGUUUGUUCCAGGUGUGGCUGUCCCGACAGGUGUGCUAACAGGUGUGUUUGUUCCAGGUGUGGCUGUCCCGACAGGUGCCCUCCAGUCUGGACCCCCUGUGUAAGUACACCAGCAGGUGUAAGGUGUGGGGGACGGCCUACGUGGACAGGGAGAAACUG
Long non-coding RNA from Branchiostoma belcheri (Belcher's lancelet), 213 nucleotides. RefSeq lists it as uncharacterized. The record is from RefSeq and is a predicted model, not a curated record. The transcript is spliced from 2 exons. Lineage: Eukaryota; Metazoa; Chordata; Leptocardii; Amphioxiformes; Branchiostomatidae.